This 492-nucleotide ribosomal RNA is filed under the name uncultured bacterium. Its description in RNAcentral is "partial 16S ribosomal RNA". It matches the Rfam family "Bacterial small subunit ribosomal RNA", at positions 30 to 507 of the family's 1533-position model. The record is from RNAcentral.
AUUGAGCGCUGGCGGCAUGCUUUACACAUGCCAGUCGAACGGUAACAGGCCUUCGGGUGCUGACGAGUGGCGAACGGGUGAGUAAUGCAUCGGAACGUGCCCAGAGGUGGGGGAUAACGCAGCGAAAGCUGUGCUAAUACCGCAUGUGAUCUGAGGAUGAAAGCGGGGGACCAGGCAGCAAUGUUUGGCCUCGCGCCUUUGGAGCGGCCGAUGUCAGAUUAGGUAGUUGGUGGGGUAAAGGCCUACCAAGCCGACGAUCUGUAGCUGGUCUGAGAGGACGACCAGCCACACUGGGACUGAGACACGGCCCAGACUCCUACGGGAGGCAGCAGUGGGGAAUUUUGGACAAUGGGCGCAAGCCUGAUCCAGCAAUGCCGCGUGCGGGAAGAAGGCCUUCGGGUUGUAAACCGCUUUUGUACGGAACGAAAAGGCUCUGGCUAAUACCUGGGGCUGAUGACGGUACCGUAAGAAUAAGCACCGGCUAACUACGUG